This 2513-nucleotide long non-coding RNA is filed under the name Mus musculus (house mouse). Its description in RNAcentral is "long non-coding RNA chr12:73126946-73129459". The record is from RNAcentral. Lineage: Eukaryota; Metazoa; Chordata; Mammalia; Rodentia; Muridae.
AGUUUUAAAUGUGCUAAGUCUACUUUCAAAGACAAAAAAGCAAGGCUCAACAGUCAUUUAUUAGUUAUUGAUCUUUAGUAAUUGAUAUUUUUGCAAUUUUUCUUGUAUACUCUAUAAAAUUUCCAAGUCUUGAUUCCCAGACUUGACUCUUGAUACUAAAGAAUCAUCUGGGAUGUCUAUUUAUUUACAAAUCUCAGGGCCCUGUUAAUAAUCUGAUUUGGGUUGGGGUAAGACUUUAUCAUCUCUCUCUCUAUAUGUUAUCCUUAUAAAUACUAUAUAUUACUUAUCCAAGGAAAGCUUGUGCUCAGUUUUGAAACAUUCCUGGGGUAGUCAUAUAACAAAGAGUGUGGCAGACAUGGGAUCUGCCCUCCUCCACUUGUAUUUAGCUCUUUUGCAUGACUCAAAGGAAAUUAGUUUGUAAUUUUUCAAGGAAGAAAAGGAGAAUCUAGUUAUAAAAUUUGUAAUUGAGGUAUGAAAGUGGUUUUAUGUUAUUCUUUUAAAUAAUCUACUUAUUAAAAAGAACUAUUUGUUUUUUAAAAAAAACUAAGAACUCCCCACCCCUACCCCCAGAAACUUGCCAGGUGUGAUGCACGCUUUUAACCUUAGCACUUGGGAGGCAGAAGCAGAGGGCAGAGGGCAGAGGCAGGUAGAUCUCUGUGAUUUUUUUUUUCUUUUCCUUUUGCAUACAGGAUCUCUCUGUGUAGUCUUGGCUAUACUGGUCUUGAACUCACAGAGAUGCACCUGCCUGUGUGUCUCAAAUGCUGGGGUUAAAAGCAUGUGCCACCAUACAUAGUCUUAUCUGAUCUCUGUGUGUUUGAGGCUUGGUCUAUCUGGAGAGUUCUGGACUAGCCAGGACUACAUAGUGAGACCAAAGGAGGAGGAAGAGGAAGAGGAAGAGGAGAAGGAGGAAAAGGAGAAGGAGGAAGAGGAAGAAGAGGGGAGGAGGAGGAGGAAGAGAAGGGGGAGGAACAGAAAAGAAGAAGAAGAGGAGAAGAAAGAGCAGCAGAAGAAAUCAAAAGCGUGAAAUCUGCAGCCAGGGCCUUUGGGUUAGUAGGUACAUCUUAAACCCAUGAAAGAUAGCACCAAGGGAACAAAAUGUUUGGUUGGCUUCAAAUGCAUAAAUGAUGUAUAGCUUAGCAUGGAGGAGGGAAGAGCCUCUUAGAAAAGUGUGAUCUGGCUCUCGGGCUUAGUCAGGAGAUAUGCACAAAAGCACAGGCUACAAAGUGCUCUCUACUUUAUUAACAGGAUUGAUAGGAAGUUGGAAGACAAGUUAACUAGAAAUUGGAAGGCUCUUAUCAAUCUUGCUUGUAUUCCAUCCUCAUCCUCCUUGUCUGACCUACAGGGAAAAGAAAGCCCAUUCCAGUCUUUUUGUGUAUGCAUUUGUUAGGAAUUAUGCAAUUACAUUUUAAUCGUGUUUGCUAAAUAAAAUUCUACAAAGGUUGCAUUUUGUAGUUUUCUGUGUAUUAAAUGAAAAUACUAUACUAUCAAAAUAAGUUUUAUCUACUUAGAACAAUGUUCUCUUUACAUUUUAUUCUUCAGGAAGCUAAUUUAAACAAAAGAAAGACUACUUUGAAUAUUCAGUCAUGAUUUUGUAGCCCAUUACUGUAUUUUGCUACAUCUUUAUCUUUGGCCUAUGAUAUAUAAAGUGUCUGUACUUACUUUAUAAUUAUUAUUAGAUGACAGGAAGGCUAAGUGAAUUUUAUUGCUUAUGGGAGGAAAUAAUUACAGUACCUUCUUAUAUUUCAUUUUCAUGUUGUCUAUCAGGAUAUAUAAUUCGUGUACAUGUAUUACAUAUGCACAAAUGUGUAUAUGAUUUCUCUACAAAUAGAAAAGAAAAUAGGAAGUUUAAUGAACCUCAGUAGAAAUGCUUUGGAGUGUUAGUUUUGUUUUUUGUUUUUUGUUUUUUUUAAUUUAACUAAGUUGAAAUGUAAAAAACAAGAAUUUUGAGAUGAAGGGAAAUGAUAUAUACCCCCCCUUUUUAACAUAAAUACGACAGUGGCUAUAUCAUUGAAAAUUAAUGAGGGCUCCAUCAAUAUGGUGCAGUUUCUCUGCAUCAUGGAUUCAUAUAUAUUUAAUGAGCCUGCUAUUCUAACUCCAGGUAACUGAAGCAAACUGCAUCUGACAUUCACUCUGAUUUACUUGUAAACAACUCAUUCCAUUAAAUUUUAAAGGCCUUGAAAUCUACCAGUAUUAAAUAUAGCUUCUUCCUAAAUUAAAUUGUAUGGUGUUUACUCUGUUGCCAUAACUAAGUUGUUUUUAAACAAACAGGCUAAAUUUUAGUGUUGUUUCAGAUGCUGCCAAAAAUGUCAUUAUUAAUUGAUAUUUUAAAAAUGAUUAGUGGGGCGGGGCGUGGUGGCACACGCCUUUAAUCCCAGCACUCGGGAGGCAGAGGCAGGUGGAUUUCUGAGUUUGAGGCUAGCCUAGUCUACAGAGUUAGUUACAGGACAGCCAGGGCUAUACAGAGAAACCCUGUCUCGAAAAACAAAACAAAACAAAACAAAACAAAACAAAAC